UACGAAGGACCCAAGCGUUAUCCGGAUUUAUUGGGUUUAAAGGGUGCGUAGGCGGAUUAUUAAGUCAGUGGUGAAAGCCUGCAGCUUAACUGCAGAACUGCCAUUGAUACUGAUGAUCUUGAGUAUGAUUGAGGUGGGCGGAAUGUGUCAUGUAGCGGUGAAAUGCUUAGAUAUGACACAGAACACCAAUUGCGAAGGCAGCUCGCUGGGACGUGACUGACGCUGAGACGCGAAAGCGUGGGGAGCAAACAGG
Molecule: ribosomal RNA, 253 nt
Filed under: uncultured bacterium
Lineage: Bacteria
Description: partial 16S ribosomal RNA
Rfam family: Bacterial small subunit ribosomal RNA
Source: RNAcentral